Mugil cephalus (flathead mullet) is the source of this 987-nucleotide non-coding RNA. The record is from the annotation of a RefSeq genome assembly. Lineage: Eukaryota; Metazoa; Chordata; Actinopteri; Mugiliformes; Mugilidae.
UGACAUGAAUACAUUUACACUUUUCUUCUUUUUGCAGGUUCUCACUGGAGCAGCAGCACGGACCUGGAAGAUGUCUCCAACUCUGAUCGGAUGUCUCCUCAUCUUGUUUCCAUAUCAAGUUAAGAGUACGACCUUUCAACAGUCUCAUCCAACGAUAGUCAACCCCAAGGACAGGGUGGAAUUUAGUUGCAGCCACGACAACAGUGAUCUGAGCGUUAUGCUCUGGUACCAGCAGAAAGGGGGCGGUCAGAUCAACCUGAUCGGAUACAGCUACUUUCCCAGCGAUCCAGUUUAUGAGAAUGAGUUCCAGGCUCGGUUUCAGAUGACGAGGAACGACAUCCAAACGGGAGGUCUGAUUAUUCAAAGCGCGUCUCAGUCAGACUCAGCUGUGUAUUUCUGUGCUGGCAGUACACAGUGAUGUGGUCUAAUGAGACCCCGUCACCAAAAACCUCACGCACAUCGGGUAAACUGCCUCAGUGUGAGAAAAACACUUUCAACAUUCAUCUCAGUUAAGACACAGGCAGAAGGGGUUAAAUAGUUUUCUUAAUCUGAUGCACACGUGCUUUCAGGGUUCUUGGUCCAUUAAUCUGUUUUUGUUUUUUUGUUUUUUUUUUAAUUGUGGGUCAAAUGUUUUGUCAUAUUAUUGUUAUAUAUUAUAUAUAAUGAUGGCAAACCCCAUCUCCUUAAUACAAAAACUCAGAGCCAACCAACAUUCAUCACAUUUACAUCAGAGCUAGAACUCGCCCCUCCCACCUCCUUAUCUGAUGUCUCUACCAGCCUGUACUGUUGACUUCACCUCUGCAAACUUUACUCAUUAGCAGCUGAUUCUCCAUCACUCAGUGUCAGUCAGAUCUCAAAAAAUCUAAUCCAACAAAUCAGCUUUUUAUUUAUGGACUUUUGAGUUUAUUUAGAAACAGACAAAAUGAUCUAUUUUCUGUUUUUCCUUUUUUUCUGUUUCCUGUCAGGUAAUAACACGAAUUAAUAUGA